ACAAAACUGACAAGUGACAGCAAGUCUGUCCUACUAGGAUUAAAUAAAUUUUAAAAAUGGUUCAUGAUUACAUACAAGUCAACAGGUUCAUCCUAACAGAUCCGGGGGAGGGGGUAUAUUGGAGUAUUUAUGCGUAUACGUAUAUGUAUAUGCGUACAAAAUGUCAAAGUGGCUAACUAAAGUAGUGGAUGCAAAGUGUCAGUGCACCACUAGCCCUUUAUGACAAUAGGUGUAAAAUGAGUUGUUCAAAAAUGUGCUUAGUAGUUAAAUAGAAAUAUCAUUGAUUGAUUACAUAUCCCAUUCCUUUUGCAAAACUGAAAGUUCUGAAUUCCAAUUGCCACGAGAAUUCUGUUUAGUUGGCCUGUGUUUAGUUGGCCUGUGUAUUUGAAUAACAUCAACUAAUCCCGUCUUUCUCAACAAGAAUCGUAGAGAAUAGCAAAAUAAAAGUAUAUUUAGGAAACCUUUUUCUAGCCCAAGAUCGUUAACUAAGAUCGAAAGAUUCAACUAAUAAGAGGAAACUAGAAAGGUGAAGGAAAAUAUUUAAAGGGAGAACUUGGAUUUGAAAGAAGACUGCUUGAAUAUGC
This 584-nucleotide long non-coding RNA is filed under the name Capsicum annuum. Its description in RNAcentral is "long non-coding RNA (CANN_LNC015561)". Lineage: Eukaryota; Viridiplantae; Streptophyta; Magnoliopsida; Solanales; Solanaceae. The record is from RNAcentral.